CCUACGGGAGACAGCAGUGGGGAAUAUUGGUCAAUGGACGAGAGUCUGAACCAGCAAAGCAGCGUGAAGGAUGACUGCCCUAUGGUUUGUAAGCUUCUUUUAUAUGGGAAUAAAAUGUUCCACGUGUGGGAGUUUGUAUGUCCCAUAUGUAUAAGGAUCGGCUAACUCCGUGCCAGCAGCCGCGGUAAUACGGCGGAUCCGAGCGUUAUCCGGAUUUAUUGGGUUUAAAGGGAGCGUAGGUGGAUUGUUAAGUCAGUUGUGAAAGUUUGCGGCUCAACCGUAAAAUUGCAGUUGAAACUGGCAGUCUUGAGUACAGUAGAGGUGGGCGGAAUUCGUGGUGUAGCGGUGAAAUGCUUAGAUAUCACGAAGAACACCGAUUGCGAAGGCAGCUCACUGGACUGCAACUGACACUGAGGCUCGAAAGUGUGGGUAGCAAACAGGAUUAGAUACCCGGGUAGUC
Molecule: ribosomal RNA, 460 nt
Filed under: uncultured bacterium
Lineage: Bacteria
Description: partial 16S ribosomal RNA
Rfam family: Bacterial small subunit ribosomal RNA
Source: RNAcentral